AAUUUCUAGACACGAAAAAUAUAUUAAUUGAAAUUUUAAAAUCAGGCUGUGGAUAACUGGAGAUGGGGACGGCCCUGUACAUCAAGAUUAAAAGAGCAAAUAAAGUUUACAACACUGGAGAGCCUAUCCGGAUUAUCAGCAGCACCACAGAAAUGGUGAAGCUAGGGGAAUCUCUCAGUGGCAAAACAGAAAUCCCUUUUGAGUUUCCUCUGCAUGUGAAGGGUAACAAAGUUCUGUAUGAGACUUAUCAUGGCAUGUUUGUCAACAUUCAGUACACACUGUGCUGUGACUCGAGGCAAUCUCUGUUGGCCAAGGACUUGACAAAGACCUGUGAAUUUAUCAUUCAUUCUGUUCCUCAGAAAGGGAAGUUGAUUCCCAGUCCUGUGACCUUCACGAGUACACCUGAAACCUUACAGAACGUCAAAGAGAGAGAUUUGCUUCCCAAAUUUCACAUUCAAGGACAUCUCAACUCAACAAACUGUGUCAUCAUGCAGCUGCUAAGGGGAGAGCUGGUGGUGGAGAGCCCAGAGGUGCCAUCAGAAGCGUGGAGCUGCAGCUGGUGCACGUGGAGACUUGCGGGUGUGCAGAAGGCUAAGUCCGCGAGGCCACGGGGAUUCAGAACAUUCAGAUCACCGACAGUGACGUGUGCAGGGGCCUCUCUGUCCCCAUCUACAUGGUCUUCUCCAGGCUGUUCACCUGCCCUCCGCUGGAGACCACCAGCUUCCAUGUGGAAUUUGAGGAUAACAUCGUGGUGCUUCUCCACCCUGACCACCUCAUCGUGGAGAACUUCCCGCUGAACCUCUGCACGAUACAGCCCAGAGAGGGAGGCACAGAAAACCAGAGUGGCCAUCUGAAAAUCCAGCUGGUUAUUCAAAUCCUAAGGGGAGCGACAGCCAGUGGCAUUUACUUGUUUUUGUGA
Molecule: RNA transcript, 919 nt
Organism: Cebus imitator (Panamanian white-faced capuchin)
Lineage: Eukaryota; Metazoa; Chordata; Mammalia; Primates; Cebidae
Gene name: vacuolar protein sorting-associated protein 26C-like
Exons: 2
Source: RefSeq, a predicted model, not a curated record